CCUACGGGCGGCAGCAGUAGGGAAUAUUGCUCAAUGGGGGAAACCCUGAAGCAGCAACGCCGCGUGGAGGAUGAAGGUUUUCGGAUUGUAAACUCCUUUUGUUAGAGAAGAUAAUGACGGUAUCUAACGAAUAAGCACCGGCUAACUCCGUGCCAGCAGCCGCGGUAAUACGGAGGGUGCAAGCGUUACUCGGAAUCACUGGGCGUAAAGAGCGCGUAGGCGGGAUAGCAAGUCAGAUGUGAAAUCCUAUGGCUUAACCAUAGAACUGCAUUUGAAACUGUUAUUCUAGAGUAUGGGAGAGGUAGGUGGAAUUCUUGGUGUAGGGGUAAAAUGCGUAGAGAUCAAGAGGAAUACUCAUUGCGAAGGCGACCUGCUAGAACAUAACUGACGCUGAGGCGCGAAAGCGUGGGGAGCAAACAGGAUUAGAUACCCCAGUAGUC
This 440-nucleotide ribosomal RNA is filed under the name uncultured bacterium. Its description in RNAcentral is "partial 16S ribosomal RNA". It matches the Rfam family "Bacterial small subunit ribosomal RNA", at positions 338 to 795 of the family's 1533-position model. The record is from RNAcentral.